Molecule: ribosomal RNA, 1371 nt
Filed under: Nocardia sp. WMMB 337
Lineage: Bacteria; Bacillati; Actinomycetota; Actinomycetes; Mycobacteriales; Nocardiaceae
Description: bacterial SSU rRNA
Rfam family: Bacterial small subunit ribosomal RNA
Source: RNAcentral
AUGCAAGUCGAGCGGUAAGGCCCUUCGGGGUACACGAGCGGCGAACGGGUGAGUAACACGUGGGUGAUCUGCCUCGUACUUCGGGAUAAGCCUGGGAAACUGGGUCUAAUACCGGAUAGGACCUCUUGUCGCAUGGCUUGGGGUGGAAAGAUUUAUCGGUGCGAGAUGGGCCCGCGGCCUAUCAGCUUGUUGGUGGGGUAAUGGCCUACCAAGGCGACGACGGGUAGCCGGCCUGAGAGGGCGACCGGCCACACUGGGACUGAGACACGGCCCAGACUCCUACGGGAGGCAGCAGUGGGGAAUAUUGCACAAUGGGCGGAAGCCUGAUGCAGCGACGCCGCGUGAGGGAUGACGGCCUUCGGGUUGUAAACCUCUUUCGACAGGGACGAAGCGCAAGUGACGGUACCUGUAGAAGAAGCACCGGCCAACUACGUGCCAGCAGCCGCGGUAAUACGUAGGGUGCGAGCGUUGUCCGGAAUUACUGGGCGUAAAGAGCUUGUAGGCGGUUUGUCGCGUCGUCUGUGAAAACUCACAGCUCAACUGUGAGCUUGCAGGCGAUACGGGCAGACUUGAGUACUGCAGGGGAGACUGGAAUUCCUGGUGUAGCGGUGAAAUGCGCAGAUAUCAGGAGGAACACCGGUGGCGAAGGCGGGUCUCUGGGCAGUAACUGACGCUGAGAAGCGAAAGCGUGGGUAGCGAACAGGAUUAGAUACCCUGGUAGUCCACGCCGUAAACGGUGGGCGCUAGGUGUGGGUUUCCUUCCACGGGAUCCGUGCCGUAGCUAACGCAUUAAGCGCCCCGCCUGGGGAGUACGGCCGCAAGGCUAAAACUCAAAGGAAUUGACGGGGGCCCGCACAAGCGGCGGAGCAUGUGGAUUAAUUCGAUGCAACGCGAAGAACCUUACCUGGGUUUGACAUACACCGGAAACCUGCAGAGAUGUAGGCCCCCUUGUGGUCGGUGUACAGGUGGUGCAUGGCUGUCGUCAGCUCGUGUCGUGAGAUGUUGGGUUAAGUCCCGCAACGAGCGCAACCCUUGUCCUGUGUUGCCAGCACGUAAUGGUGGGGACUCGCAGGAGACUGCCGGGGUCAACUCGGAGGAAGGUGGGGACGACGUCAAGUCAUCAUGCCCCUUAUGUCCAGGGCUUCACACAUGCUACAAUGGGCGGUACAGAGGGCUGCGAGACCGUGAGGUGGAGCGAAUCCCUUAAAGCCGUUCUCAGUUCGGAUCGGGGUCUGCAACUCGACCCCGUGAAGUUGGAGUCGCUAGUAAUCGCAGAUCAGCAACGCUGCGGUGAAUACGUUCCCGGGCCUUGUACACACCGCCCGUCACGUCAUGAAAGUCGGUAACACCCGAAGCCGGUGGCCCAACCCC